This 497-nucleotide ribosomal RNA is filed under the name uncultured bacterium. RNAcentral's name for it is "partial 16S ribosomal RNA". It matches the Rfam family "Bacterial small subunit ribosomal RNA", at positions 28 to 507 of the family's 1533-position model. The record is from RNAcentral.
GAUGAACGCUGGCGGCGUGCCUAAUACAUGCAAGUCGAGCGAACGGACAAGAAGCUUGCUUCUCUGAUGUUAGCGGCGGACGGGUGAGUAACACGUGGAUAACCUACCUAUAAGACUGGGAUAACUUCGGGAAACCGGAGCUAAUACCGGAUAAUAUUUUGAACCGCAUGGUUCAAAAGUGAAAGACGGUCUUGCUGUCACUUAUAGAUGGAUCCGCGCUGCAUUAGCUAGUUGGUAAGGUAACGGCUUACCAAGGCAACGAUGCAUAGCCGACCUGAGAGGGUGAUCGGCCACACUGGAACUGAGACACGGUCCAGACUCCUACGGGAGGCAGCAGUAGGGAAUCCUCCGCAAUGGGCGAAAGCCUGACGGAGCAACGCCGCGUGAGUGAUGAAGGUCUUCGGAUCGUAAAACUCUGUUAUUAGGGAAGAACAUAUGUGUAAGUAACUGUGCACAUCUUGACGGUACCUAAUCAGAAAGCCACGGCUAACUACGUG